GGAGGGGGGUCACUGAAGAGAGUCGGAGAUGGAGAGCGCUUAGCACAGUCCUCUGCACCAAGUAAGCGCUCGAUAAAUACGAUCGAAUGGAGAGGGGAGGGGCAGGGGCGCGGGAGGGUCCGGGCUGGGUCACUGGGAGACGGGGAUGGAGAGUCAGGGGGACGGUUGGACAGUCCAUUCCUAACCACUCAGACGGGUAUCCAGGUAAUAACACGGAGUUAGUUCUUGGGAGCGUCCCGGUGCCUCUGGGCUGGCCACGCCGCUCACCUCCCCCAGCGAGGCGGUGACCGAGGCUUUGGGAGCCCAACUGGUUGAAUUCGUCGCUCCUCGGGGUCCGGCUGGUUCACACGGGCGGACUCGGUUGAAGGAAGGAUUCUCUCUCUCCCCCUCUCUUCCCGAGCACGCUAGAGGCCCGGCUUGGCGGAGGGGAUUCACCGAGCGCCGGAUAGCCGGACGGCAUGGCGCUGAGCGCUUGAGGGAGUGCGGUGUAGUAAACGCCCACGAUCCUUGCCCGGAAGGAGCUUACGGUGGUGAGAUUGCCACCGCGGUCCAGCGGUCCGUGCGAAAUGCUCGCCGCGUGCCGAGCGCCGUGCUAAGCGCGUUGGGGGUCUGUAAAGUCGAUCGAUCUCCCAGCGGUAUUUACUGAGCGCCUCCUGCGCGCGGAGCCCCGGACUAAGCGCUUGAGAGAGGAUAAUCCGACAGAAUUGGCCCCGACGAGUUUACGGUCUAAAACCCUCGUGACUUCUCCGUGGACCCAGAUUCAGGUAUUCCACCCUACGGAUGUCCAUCUGAUGCUUCCUCCUUCCCCUGCCCCGACUCUCUGUGAAAGAAUCUUCGGUCCGGUUCAUCUUCCCCGCGGGCCACGAGCCGUGAAUCUCACUUCUGCUCUCUUCUCCCGAGCGCUUAGCCCGGUGCGUGGCACUCGGUGGGCGUUCGGUGAAUGCUGUCGAUGGAUCCGCGGGAUUAGUCUCUCCCCGACGCCUCGUUGAGCUUCUCUCCUGGGGAAUCGGAAAGCGGUCGAUCAUACGUUCUUUCAUUCGAUCGUAUUAAUUAAACGCUUACACUGCACUAAGCGCCUUGGAAAGUACAAUCCGGCAAAAAAGAGAG
RNAcentral lists this long non-coding RNA (1107 nucleotides) under Ornithorhynchus anatinus (platypus). RNAcentral's name for it is "lncRNA (ENSOANG00000039517.1)". The record is from RNAcentral. Lineage: Eukaryota; Metazoa; Chordata; Mammalia; Monotremata; Ornithorhynchidae.